This 497-nucleotide ribosomal RNA is filed under the name uncultured bacterium. RNAcentral's name for it is "partial 16S ribosomal RNA". It matches the Rfam family "Bacterial small subunit ribosomal RNA", at positions 28 to 507 of the family's 1533-position model. The record is from RNAcentral.
GAUGAACGCUGGCGGCGUGCCUAAAACAUGCAAGUCGAGCGAACGGACGAGAAGCUUGCUUUUCUGAUGUUAGCGGCGGACGGGUGAGUAACACGUGGAUAACCUACCUAUAAGACUGGGAUAACUUCGGGAAACCGGAGCUAAUACCGGAUAAUAUUUUGAACCGCAUGGUUCAAAAGUGAAAGACGGUCUUGCUGUCACUUAUAGAUGGAUCCGCGCUGCAUUAGCUAGUUGGUAAGGUAACGGCUUACCAAGGCAACGAUGCAUAGCCGACCUGAGAGGGUGAUCGGCCACACUGGAACUGAGACACGGUCCAGACUCCUACGGGAGGCAGCAGUAGGGAAUCUUCCGCAAUGGGCGAAAGCCUGACGGAGCAACGCCGCGUGAGUGAUGAAGGUCUUCGGAUCGUAAAACUCUGUUAUUAGGGAAGAACAUAUGUGUAAGUAACUGUGCACAUCUUGACGGUACCUAAUCAGAAAGCCACGGCUAACUACGUG